RNAcentral lists this long non-coding RNA (255 nucleotides) under Elaeis guineensis (African oil palm). RNAcentral describes it as "long non-coding RNA (EGUI_LNC044732)". The record is from RNAcentral. Lineage: Eukaryota; Viridiplantae; Streptophyta; Magnoliopsida; Arecales; Arecaceae.
AACCAAUGUCCAUGCAUUGUUGAUCUUCAUGGACUAUAUUUUAAAUUUUAUGGCUUCAAGUCAUUUUUCAGAGUCGGAUCUCUGCAUUGCAUCCAUGUAGAUGAUUGGAUCCUUAUUAUUUUCAUCGAGCUCAAUAGGAUCUUCAUCUCAGACCAAGAAAUCUAGGUAUCUAUUUGGUUGAUGCGGUACUCUAACAGAUCACCUUAAGAAUAUUUGUAUAUUGGGCUUCAGGUUUGAUCUUAUCAAAUCUGGUUC